Molecule: ribosomal RNA, 375 nt
Filed under: Alsophis rufiventris
Lineage: Eukaryota; Metazoa; Chordata; Lepidosauria; Squamata; Dipsadidae
Description: partial 16S ribosomal RNA
Rfam family: Bacterial large subunit ribosomal RNA
Source: RNAcentral
UGUCUAUUAAUUGUAGACCUGUAUGAAAGGCAAAAUGAGGGUUUAACUGUCUCUUAUAAUAAAUCAAUUAAACUGAUCUCCUAGUAAAAAAGCUGGGAUACCCACAUAAGACCAGAAGACCCUGUGAAGCUUAAACUAAACUAUUAAACCCUAUAAUAAAUACUUUCGGUUGGGGCGACCUUGGAAAAAAAAAGAACUUCCAAACACAGUGAUUAUAACUCACACCUCUUAGGCCAACAAGCCUGCUAAACGACCCAGCAUAGCUGAUAAUUGAACCAAGUUACUCCAGGGAUAACAGCGCCAUCUUCUUCAAGAGUCCAUAUCAAAAAGAAGGUUUACGACCUCGAUGUUGGAUCAGGACAUCCUAAUGGUGCA